Molecule: long non-coding RNA, 2246 nt
Filed under: Heterocephalus glaber (naked mole-rat)
Lineage: Eukaryota; Metazoa; Chordata; Mammalia; Rodentia; Bathyergidae
Description: lncRNA (ENSHGLG00000032566.1)
Source: RNAcentral
GUAUUUUCUUUUGAGGGGCAGUAAAUAAGAGUCUUUUAUGUUGACAAUGAUAAUAUUAUAUUCUACAAUCUAUUUGCAUUUCUCUUUCUGUGGAUUUUAUUGCUUGGUAUAAAUCCCCAGUAUGAGGCACAUUAAAUUUCACAUAGGGCUGGACAGCUAUGUGUACAAGAUGCUACCUGUAGGAAUUGGGUUUUUCCCAGAUAUGAAGGGGGAAUACACAGAAAGGAAGAAAUGCGUAUGUGCAUGCAGGUUUGGGCACAUGCAUAUGAAACCUGGAGGGAUUCUCUUUGGAUCCACAGUCCAAAUGGACUUCCAAGAAGGAGCUGGUAUGACCACAUGCUUCUUCCAUUGUGCCACAUGCAGCCCAUCUUGAUCAGCCAGGUUCUCAGGAGACUGAUCAGCACCUGCUGUAGCUCUGGCCAAAGCUGUUUUUGGGACCAUGUGAAGGACAGAAAACUAAAAUGUGGGCACAAAAGCAUCUAAGACUUGCAGCAGAGUUGAGUCUCCUACCACUUUCUGUGAGUCUGCUGAAUACUUUUCAGUAUGGGAGCAUCCUUUCCAACACACAAGUCAGGAACUGCUGAGAUACAUCACGGUGCAAGCUUGAUCCAAAAUUGAUGUUAACCAUUGACUGUCAACUGAAGACUUCUAUGUGCCACUCACUGUGCUAAGCACCAUCUCAUUUAAUCCUCACAACAGUCCUUCAAGGCUAGCUUGACUGAGAGAGUAUGAAGUUGGAGCUGUCAAUUAUCAGAAGCAAUCUGGUGGAAGGAAAUAGACUACAACAUUAAGAAAACAAGCCUUGACAGUGUAUCAUUUGAGUGCCCAAAUCCAGCUGGACCUAGAGAUGAGAGGCCAAGGAUCAGAGAAGGAAAGCGGAUUGCUCAGUACCACACAGGAGGUUCGGGCCUGAGCCUAGGGCUCAGAUAUCCCAAGCUGAGAAAGCAGUGUGCUCACAUCUCAGAGCAUGGGUUGUUCAUCCCAGCAGGACCUGCAGUAGGCCCAGCAGUGGAAAAGACCAUAGGAUGCCAGUCACCUGGGGUCCUCCCUGACUUUAUCACACCUGCAGACUUUGAAGAGCAAGGGGAAGAUCUAGAGCCAGCUCUUCGUGCUGUGAGAUGGUGCAGAUUAUUUGGUAAGGGUCAUCUGGCCCCGAGUGAGGACUACAGAAGAAAGUGUCCAUCCAAGCCCAGGAACUAGAGACAGCCUUACAGCUGUGAAAGGCCCUAUCCUCCUUUGGCUGUUUCAGGUUCUACAGAAGCCUGAUAGCUACCAAAGAUGCUGUCCUGUGCUUUCAUCUCCUGCUACUCAAAGUGUGACUCCUGGCCCAGUGGCAUCACUUAACACAUUCAGACUCUCAGGCAUCAUCCUAGCUACUAAAUCACAAUCUGCCCUAAGGAGCCCCUGAGGGUGAUUCCUCUACACGUUAGUGUUUGAAUUGUACUGUUAUACUGCACCAUUUAGCAUGAGAUAAGGAUAGAUCAUUCUAAGGCAGCACAAAUUGGCCUAGUCCAUGUAUUUGGAUGAGCUGUAAAAUAUUUGGUGUCAAAUACAGUUUUGCAAAUCAGGUCUCUUUGGAAAUUCACCAAAUAAAUUAGCUAGUUAAAACAAAAAUGUUAACAGCAAUAACAGCAAAAAAAAAAAGUGUGGCUGUCUUGCUAUAAUGUGAAACAUCACAACUUUCCUUAGGAAGCUUAUAUUUUUUCAAAUUAAAUUUACCUAAAUUGAAGCACAAAUAUUAUUUAACAUCCUGCAUUUAUUAUAGUUUGCAUGUGCUGAGCUGUUGGUAGUUAACGGAGCUGCGCUGAAAAUUUUACAUGCUUGAUGUUAUGGAAUCUUCACCCAGCCUUAGGAGAUUGCUAUUAUUCUCAUUUAGCAAAUAAGCAAAUGAAGGAACUCACAUGUGACAUCACACUGAUUUGUGCAUUUCAUCUUGCCAUUUUUUUGUUGUUUUAUAAUCCUGCCCCUACCACCUACUCUUCAGCCCCCACCCUCAUCAUCAGUACAAGGCCCUAAUGUUCAAUUCUUUGGGCCUAACACUGGAUGGCUUUUGGUGGCUUUUAAAGGCUGAUUGUUCAGUGCCGAACAUGGCCCUGGUGUCUGCUGGAAUAAGAGGCUACCACAUUCCCUACCUCGAGGUGUGCUCAAAACCAAGCUUGUCCUGGAUCUUGGUGACAUAUUCAGCCAGAUAACAUUGGAUUGUGCUUGCGAGGCAGGCGGCAGAACCACUGAGCUACAUCCCUGGC